RNAcentral lists this ribosomal RNA (453 nucleotides) under uncultured bacterium. Its description in RNAcentral is "bacterial SSU rRNA". It matches the Rfam family "Bacterial small subunit ribosomal RNA", at positions 28 to 476 of the family's 1533-position model. The record is from RNAcentral.
GACGAACGCUGGCGGCGUGCCUAACACAUGUAAGUCGCACGGGACCGGGGGCAACUCCGGUUCAGUGGCAGACGGGUGCGUAACACGUGAAGAACCUGUCCAACGGCGGGGGAUAGCCGGCCCAACGGCCGGGUAAUACCGCAUACGAUCGUUCGGGGGCAUCCCUGGGCGAUGAAAGCAGCCGCAAGGUUGCGCCGAUGGAGGGCUUCGCGGCCUAUCAGCUAGUUGGCGGGGUAACGGCCCACCAAGGCAACGACGGGUAGCUGGUCUGAGAGGAUGGCCAGCCACAUUGGGACUGAGACACGGCCCAGACUCCUACGGGAGGCAGCAGUGGGGAAUCUUGCGCAAUGGCCGCAAGGCUGACGCAGCGACGCCGCGUGUGGGAUGACGGCCUCGGGUUGUAACCACUGUCGGGAGGAACGAAUACUCGGCUUCGAUAAGGAGACCGAGGGU